AUCUUUCUUUUUUUUUUCUUUCUUUCUUUCUUUUUUUAAGAGAGAGAGAGAGAGAGAGAGAGAGAG
This 66-nucleotide small RNA is filed under the name Marmota monax (woodchuck). The record is from RNAcentral. Lineage: Eukaryota; Metazoa; Chordata; Mammalia; Rodentia; Sciuridae.